RNAcentral lists this ribosomal RNA (1425 nucleotides) under uncultured organism. Its description in RNAcentral is "partial small subunit ribosomal RNA". It matches the Rfam family "Bacterial small subunit ribosomal RNA". The record is from RNAcentral.
AACACAUGCAAGUCGAACGGAAAGGCCCUGCUUUUGUGGGGUGCUCGAGUGGCGAACGGGUGAGUAACACGUGAGUAACCUGCCCUUGACUUUGGGAUAACUUCAGGAAACUGGGGCUAAUACCGGAUAGGAGCUCCUGCUGCAUGGUGGGGGUUGGAAAGUUUCGGCGGUUGGGGAUGGACUCGCGGCUUAUCAGCUUGUUGGUGGGGUAGUGGCUUACCAAGGCUUUGACGGGUAGCCGGCCUGAGAGGGUGACCGGCCACAUUGGGACUGAGAUACGGCCCAGACUCCUACGGGAGGCAGCAGUGGGGAAUAUUGCACAAUGGGCGGAAGCCUGAUGCAGCAACGCCGCGUGCGGGAUGACGGCCUUCGGGUUGUAAACCGCUUUCGCCUGUGACGAAGCGUGAGUGACGGUAAUGGGUAAAGAAGCACCGGCUAACUACGUGCCAGCAGCCGCGGUGAUACGUAGGGUGCGAGCGUUGUCCGGAUUUAUUGGGCGUAAAGGGCUCGUAGGUGGUUGAUCGCGUCGGAAGUGUAAUCUUGGGGCUUAACCCUGAGCGUGCUUUCGAUACGGGUUGACUUGAGGAAGGUAGGGGAGAAUGGAAUUCCUGGUGGAGCGGUGGAAUGCGCAGAUAUCAGGAGGAACACCAGUGGCGAAGGCGGUUCUCUGGGCCUUUCCUGACGCUGAGGAGCGAAAGCGUGGGGAGCGAACAGGCUUAGAUACCCUGGUAGUCCACGCUGUAAACGGUGGGUACUAGGUGUGGGGUCCAUUCCACGGGUUCCGUGCCGUAGCUAACGCUUUAAGUACCCCGCCUGGGGAGUACGGCCGCAAGGCUAAAACUCAAAGGAAUUGACGGGGCCCCGCACAAGCGGCGGAGCAUGCGGAUUAAUUCGAUGCAACGCGUAGAACCUUACCUGGGUUUGACAUGGAUCGGGAGUGCUCAGAGAUGGGUGUGCCUCUUUUGGGGUCGGUUCACAGGUGGUGCAUGGCUGUCGUCAGCUCGUGUCGUGAGAUGUUGGGUUAAGUCCCGCAACGAGCGCAACCCUUGUUCACUGUUGCCAGCACGUUAUGGUGGGGACUCAGUGGAGACCGCCGGGGUCAACUCGGAGGAAGGUGGGGAUGACGUCAAGUCAUCAUGCCCCUUAUGUCCAGGGCUUCACGCAUGCUACAAUGGCUGGUACAGAGAGUGGCGAGCCUGUGAGGGUGAGCGAAUCUCGGAAAGCCGGUCUCAGUUCGGAUUGGGGUCUGCAACUCGACCUCAUGAAGUCGGAGUCGCUAGUAAUCGCAGAUCAGCAACGCUGCGGUGAAUACGUUCCCGGGGCUUGUACACACCGCCCGUCAAGUCAUGAAAGUUGGUAACACCCGAAGCCGGUGGCCUAACCGUUGUGGGGGAGCCGUCGAAGGUGGGACUGGUGAUUAGGACU